UACGUAGGGGGCAAGCGUUGUCCGGAAUCAUUGGGCGUAAAGAGCGUGUAGGCGGUCCGGUAAGUCCGUCGUGAAAGUCUAGGGCUCAACCCUGGAAUGCUGGUGGAUACUGCCGGGCUAGAGUCCGGAAGAGGCGAGUGGAAUUCCUGGUGUAGCGGUGAAAUGCGCAGAUAUCAGGAGGAACACCUAUGGCGAAGGCAGCUCGCUGGGACGGUACUGACGCUGAGACGCGAAAGCGUGGGGAGCAAACAGG
RNAcentral lists this ribosomal RNA (253 nucleotides) under uncultured bacterium. RNAcentral's name for it is "partial 16S ribosomal RNA". It matches the Rfam family "Bacterial small subunit ribosomal RNA", at positions 524 to 776 of the family's 1533-position model. The record is from RNAcentral.